Molecule: ribosomal RNA, 564 nt
Filed under: Escherichia coli
Lineage: Bacteria; Pseudomonadati; Pseudomonadota; Gammaproteobacteria; Enterobacterales; Enterobacteriaceae
Description: partial 23S ribosomal RNA
Rfam family: Bacterial large subunit ribosomal RNA
Source: RNAcentral
GGAUGACCUGUGGUUAGGGGUGAAAGGCCAAUCAAACUUCGUGAUAGCUGGUUCUCCCCGAAAUGCAUUUAGGUGCAGCGUUGCGUGUGCUUGCUGGUGGUAGAGCGACUGGAUGGUCGAUGGCCCUUAUACCGGGUACUGAGAUCAGCCAAACUCCGAAUGCUGGUGAAGUUGAGCGUGGCAGUGAGACUGCGGGGGAUAAGCUCCGUAGUCGAGAGGGAAACAGCCCAGAUCAUCGGUUAAGGCCCCUAAGGGUGUGCUAAGUGGGAAAGGAUGUGGAGUUGCUGUGACAACCAGGAGGUUGGCUUAGAAGCAGCCAUCCUUGAAAGAGUGCGUAAUAGCUCACUGGUCAAGUGAUUCCGCGCCGACAAUGUAGCGGGGCUAAGUACACCGCCGAAACCGUGGCAACAAUUUUUGUUGGGUAGGGGAGCGUCGUGCUUGAGGUGAAGCUGCCAGGUGACUGUGUGGUGGAUUGAGUGCGAGUGAGAAUGCAGGCAUGAGUAGCGAAUGACGGGUGGGAAUCCCGUCCUCCGAAUGACUAAGGGUUCCAGGGCCAGGUUCGUC